RNAcentral lists this ribosomal RNA (462 nucleotides) under uncultured bacterium. RNAcentral describes it as "bacterial SSU rRNA". It matches the Rfam family "Bacterial small subunit ribosomal RNA", at positions 29 to 537 of the family's 1533-position model. The record is from RNAcentral.
AACGAACGCUGGCGGCAGGCCUAACACAUGCAAGUCGAACGCCCGUAGCAAUACGGGAGUGGCAGACGGGUGAGUAACGCGUGGGAACGUGCCCUUCGGUUCGGAAUAACUCAGGGAAACUUGAGCUAAUACCGGAUACGUCCGUAAGGAGAAAGAUUUAUCGCCGAAGGAUCGGCCCGCGUCGGAUUAGCUAGUUGGUGAGGUAACGGCCCACCAAGGCGACGAUCCGUAGCUGGUCUGAGAGGANGAUCAGCCACACUGGGACUGAGACACGGCCCAGACUCCUACGGGAGGCAGCAGUGGGGAAUAUUGGACAAUGGGCGAAAGCCUGAUCCAGCCAUGCCGCGUGAGUGAAGAAGGCCUUAGGGUUGUAAAGCUCUUUCAGCGGGAAGAUAAUGACGUACCCGCAGAAGAAGCCCCGGCUAAACUUCGUGCCAGCCGCCGCAGUAAUACCUGAGACCG